This 220-nucleotide ribosomal RNA is filed under the name uncultured bacterium. Its description in RNAcentral is "partial 16S ribosomal RNA". It matches the Rfam family "Bacterial small subunit ribosomal RNA", at positions 524 to 741 of the family's 1533-position model. The record is from RNAcentral.
UACGAAGGGGGCUAGCGUUGUUCGGAAUUACUGGGCGUAAAGCGCACGUAGGCGGAUUGUUAAGUCAGAGGUGAAAUCCCGGAGCUCAACUUCGGAACUGCCUUUGAUACUGGCAAUCUAGAGUCCGGAAGAGGUUAGUGGAAUUCCCAGUGUAGAGGUGAAAUUCGUAGAUAUUGAGAAGAACACCAGUGGCGAAGGCGGCUAACCGUGGUCCGGUACU